GAGAAUUGUUGUCUGAUUUUUGAAGUGCAAAAGUAUAACAUGUGCUAUGUUACAAAGUGUAUAUGAUUUUAUGAUGGUUAUAAUGCUAUUGUUUUCAUAUGUUAUUUUCAUAAAUCUCACCGAGGUAAGUGGACAAUAAAGGUUUUUAUUAUUAAUAAAUGAGUUUGUUAUAAAUUAUGCUCCAUUGGUCGUUUUUUUAUUUUCUACCAACCUU
This 214-nucleotide long non-coding RNA is filed under the name Carica papaya (papaya). RNAcentral describes it as "long non-coding RNA (CPAP_LNC000417)". The record is from RNAcentral. Lineage: Eukaryota; Viridiplantae; Streptophyta; Magnoliopsida; Brassicales; Caricaceae.